Molecule: small nuclear RNA, 139 nt
Filed under: Nicotiana attenuata
Lineage: Eukaryota; Viridiplantae; Streptophyta; Magnoliopsida; Solanales; Solanaceae
Description: snRNA U1
Rfam family: U1 spliceosomal RNA
About the family: U1 is a small nuclear RNA (snRNA) component of the spliceosome (involved in pre-mRNA splicing). Its 5' end forms complementary base pairs with the 5' splice junction, thus defining the 5' donor site of an intron.
Source: RNAcentral
CAACUUUAAUGGAAUGUCUUUCGUGUAUAUUUACUACGUUACCUCCAUUGCACUUUGGAGGGGUGCCAGCCUAAGAUCGGCCUAAGUGGUCGAACCUACGUCGUAAUUUGUGGCAGCGGGACGUUCGCGCGGCCCCUAC